This 483-nucleotide ribosomal RNA is filed under the name uncultured bacterium. RNAcentral's name for it is "partial 16S ribosomal RNA". It matches the Rfam family "Bacterial small subunit ribosomal RNA", at positions 29 to 506 of the family's 1533-position model. The record is from RNAcentral.
AUUGAACGCUGGCGGCAUGCUUUACACAUGCAAGUCGAACGGCAGCGCGGGCUUCGGCCUGGCGGCGAGUGGCGAACGGGUGAGUAAUACAUCGGAACGUGCCCAGUAGUGGGGGAUAGCUCGGCGAAAGCCGGAUUAAUACCGCAUACGACCUGAGGGUGAAAGCGGGGGAUCUUCGGACCUCGCGCUAUUGGAGCGGCCGAUGGCAGAUUAGCUAGUUGGUGGGGUAAAGGCCUACCAAGGCGACGAUCUGUAGCUGGUCUGAGAGGACGACCAGCCACACUGGGACUGAGACACGGCCCAGACUCCUACGGGAGGCAGCAGUGGGGAAUUUUGGACAAUGGGCGAAAGCCUGAUCCAGCAAUGCCGCGGGUGUGAUGAAGGCCUUCGGGUUGUAAAGCACUUUUGGCGGGAACGAAAAGGACUGUGCCAAUACCACGGUUCGAUGACGGUACCCGCAGAAUAAACACCGGCUAACUACGU